CCUACGGGAGGCUGCAGUGAGGAAUAUUGGUCAAUGGACGAGAGUCUGAACCAGCCAAGUAGCGUGAAGGAUGACUGCCCUAUGGGUUGUAAACUUCUUUUAUAAAGGAAUAAAACGAGGCACGUGUGCCUUUUUGCAUGUACUUUAUGAAUAAGGAUCGGCUAACUCCGUGCCAGCAGCCGCGGUAAUACGGAGGAGCCGAGCGUUAUCCGGAUUUAGUGGGUUUAAAGGGAGCGUAGAUGGGUUGUUAAGUCAGUUGUGAAAGUUUGCGGCUCAACCGUAAAAUUGCAAUUGAUACUGGCAGUCUUGAGUACAGUUGAGGUAGGCGGAAUUCGUGGUGUAGCGGUGAAAUGCUUAGAUAUCACGAAGAACCCCGAUUGCGAAGGCAGCUUACUAAACUGUGACUGACAUUGAUGCUCGAAAGUGUGGGUAUCAAACAGGAUUAGAUACCCUUGUAGUC
Molecule: ribosomal RNA, 460 nt
Filed under: uncultured bacterium
Lineage: Bacteria
Description: partial 16S ribosomal RNA
Rfam family: Bacterial small subunit ribosomal RNA
Source: RNAcentral